This 73-nucleotide transfer RNA is filed under the name Clostridiales bacterium. RNAcentral describes it as "tRNA-Val". It matches the Rfam family "tRNA". From Rfam's summary of the family: Transfer RNA (tRNA) molecules are approximately 80 nucleotides in length. Their secondary structure includes four short double-helical elements and three loops (D, anti-codon, and T loops). Further hydrogen bonds mediate the characteristic L-shaped molecular structure. tRNAs have two regions of fundamental functional importance: the anti-codon, which is responsible for specific mRNA codon recognition, and the 3' end, to which the tRNAs corresponding amino acid is attached (by aminoacyl-tRNA synthetases). tRNAs cope with the degeneracy of the genetic code in two manners: having more than one tRNA (with a specific anti-codon) for a particular amino acid; and 'wobble' base-pairing, i.e. permitting non-standard base-pairing at the 3rd anti-codon position. RNAcentral also lists the same sequence under 1 other name. The record is from RNAcentral. Lineage: Bacteria; Bacillati; Bacillota; Clostridia; Eubacteriales.
GGGAACAUAGCUCAGUUGGGAGAGCAUCUGCCUUACAAGCAGAGGGUCACAGGUUCGAGUCCUGUUGCUCCCA